GCAGUGGGGAAUAUUGCACAAUGGGGGAAACCCUGAUGCAGCCAUGCCCGCGUGUGURRAARAAGGCUUCGGGUUGUAAAGCACUUUCAGUAGGGAGGAAAGGUAGCGUGUUAAUAGCCCGUUACUGUGACGUUACCUACAGAAGAAGGACCGGCUAACUCCGUGCCAGCAGCCGCGGUAAUACGGAGGGUCCGAGCGUUAAUCGGAAUUACUGGGCGUAAAAGCGUGCGCAGGCGGUUUGUUAAGCCNNAUGUGAAAUCCCCGGGUUCAACCUGGGAAUUGCAUUUGGAACCGGCGAACUAGAGUCUUGUAGAGGGGGGUAGAAUUCCAGGUGUAGCGGUGAAAUGCGUAGAUAUCUGGAGGAAUACCGGUGGCGAAGGCGGCCCCCUKGACAAAGACCGACGCUCAUGCACGAAAGCGUGGGGAGCAAACAG
RNAcentral lists this ribosomal RNA (434 nucleotides) under gamma proteobacterium 1A. Its description in RNAcentral is "bacterial SSU rRNA". It matches the Rfam family "Bacterial small subunit ribosomal RNA", at positions 351 to 775 of the family's 1533-position model. Lineage: Bacteria; Pseudomonadati; Pseudomonadota; Gammaproteobacteria. The record is from RNAcentral.